GACGAACGCUGGCGGCGUGCUUAACACAUGCAAGUCGAACGGAAAGGCCCUGCUUUUGUGGGGUGCUCGAGUGGCGAACGGGUGAGUAACACGUGAGUAACCUGCCCUUGACUUUGGGAUAACUUCAGGAAACUGGGGCUAAUACCGGAUAGGAGCUCCUGCUGCAUGGUGGGGGUUGGAAAGUUUCGGCGGUUGGGGAUGGACUCGCGGCUUAUCAGCUUGUUGGUGGGGUAGUGGCUUACCAAGGCUUUGACGGGUAGCCGGCCUGAGAGGGUGACCGGCCACAUUGGGACUGAGAUACGGCCCAGACUCCUACGGUAGGCAGCGGUGGGGAAUAUUGCACAAUGGGCGGGAGCCUGAUGCAGCAACGCCGCGUGCGGGAUGACGGCCUUCGGGUUGUAAACCGCUUUCGCCUGUGACGAAGCGUGAGUGACGGUAAUGGGUAAAGAAGCACCGGCUAACUACGUG
This 468-nucleotide ribosomal RNA is filed under the name uncultured bacterium. Its description in RNAcentral is "partial 16S ribosomal RNA". It matches the Rfam family "Bacterial small subunit ribosomal RNA", at positions 28 to 507 of the family's 1533-position model. The record is from RNAcentral.